GGCUCAGAGCGAACGCUGGCGGCAGGCUUAACACAUGCAAGUCGAACGGGCACUUCGGUGCUAGUGGCAGACGGGUGAGUAACACGUGGGAACGUACCUUUCGGUUCGGAAUAAUUCAGGGAAACUUGGACUAAUACCGGAUACGCCCUUCGGGGGAAAGAUUCAUCGCCGAUAGAUCGGCCCGCGUCUGAUUAGCUAGUUGGUGAGGUAAUGGCUCACCAAGGCGACGAUCAGUAGCUGGUCUGAGAGGAUGAUCAGCCACAUUGGGACUGAGACACGGCCCAAACUCCUACGGGAGGCAGCAGUGGGGAAUAUUGGACAAUGGGCGCAAGCCUGAUCCAGCCAUGCCGCGUGAGUGAUGAAGGCCUUAUGGUUGUAAAGCUCUUUUGUCCGGGAAGAUAAUGACUGUACCGGAAGAAUAAGCCC
This 426-nucleotide ribosomal RNA is filed under the name Allobosea eneae. Its description in RNAcentral is "bacterial SSU rRNA". It matches the Rfam family "Bacterial small subunit ribosomal RNA", at positions 21 to 493 of the family's 1533-position model. The record is from RNAcentral. Lineage: Bacteria; Pseudomonadati; Pseudomonadota; Alphaproteobacteria; Hyphomicrobiales; Alloboseaceae.